This 935-nucleotide small RNA is filed under the name Pan troglodytes (chimpanzee). RNAcentral describes it as "retained intron". The record is from RNAcentral. Lineage: Eukaryota; Metazoa; Chordata; Mammalia; Primates; Hominidae.
AUGGCCUGGUCCAGUAAGUCUUGGCUUUGUCUUAUAGCCUCCUCCUGUCCCAGGGACACUCUCCUUCCUUCUGCCCAUCAUGCCUCACCUGUCCCUGCUUCUCACCUGACUCAGGUAUCUAAUGGCUGUGUGAGCAAGAUCCUAGGGCGUUACUACCGCACAGGUGUCUUGGAGCCCAAGGGCAUUGGGGGAAGCAAGCCACGGCUGGCUACACCCCCUGUGGUGGCUCGAAUUGCCCAGCUGAAGGGUGAGUGUCCAGCCCUCUUUGCCUGGGAAAUCCAACGCCAGCUUUGUGCUGAAGGGCUUUGCACCCAGGACAAGACUCCCAGUGUCUCCUCCAUCAACCGAGUCCUGCGGGCAUUACAGGAGGACCAGGGACUACCGUGCACACGGCUCAGGUCACCAGCUGUUUUGGCUCCAGCUGUCCUCACUCCCCAUAGUGGCUCUGAGACUCCCCGGGGUACCCACCCAGGGACCAGCCACCGGAAUCGGACUAUCUUCUCCCCAAGCCAAGCAGAGGCACUGGAGAAAGAGUUCCAGCGUGGGCAGUAUCCUGAUUCAGUGGCCCGUGGAAAGCUGGCUACUGCCACCUCUCUGCCUGAGGACACGGUGAGGGUCUGGUUUUCCAACAGAAGAGCCAAAUGGCGUCGGCAAGAGAAGCUCAAGUGGGAAAUGCAGCUGCCAGGUGCUUCCCAGGGGCUGACUGUACCAAGGGUUGCCCCAGGAAUCAUCUCUGCACAGGUACUCGGGAGGAGAGGGGAGUCUGUGCCCUGGGAAGACUGAAGGGCUCAUGGGCUCUUCCAUUUCUGGCCUGAGCCAGGAUCUCCGGCUCUCCAGGGCCCCACAGUGUUCAUGUCAAGAAAGUACUAACCCGAAGUCUACUAUGUGAACGGUGCCCUCUGGAGUUGUGCAGGAUACUACUUGGGUGGCAGGCA